ACAAGGUAAAUAUCAGGUUGUUUC
This is a non-coding RNA of Drosophila melanogaster (fruit fly), 24 nucleotides long. The record is from Ensembl. Lineage: Eukaryota; Metazoa; Arthropoda; Insecta; Diptera; Drosophilidae.